RNAcentral lists this ribosomal RNA (465 nucleotides) under Vreelandella stevensii. Its description in RNAcentral is "partial 16S ribosomal RNA". It matches the Rfam family "Bacterial small subunit ribosomal RNA", at positions 338 to 795 of the family's 1533-position model. The record is from RNAcentral. Lineage: Bacteria; Pseudomonadati; Pseudomonadota; Gammaproteobacteria; Oceanospirillales; Halomonadaceae.
CCUACGGGAGGCUGCAGUGGGGAAUAUUGGACAAUGGGCGAAAGCCUGAUCCAGCCAUGCCGCGUGUGUGAAGAAGGCCUUCGGGUUGUAAAGCACUUUCAGUGGGGAAGAAAGCCUUGGGGCUAAUACCCUCGAGGAAGGACAUCACCCACAGAAGAAGCACCGGCUAACUCCGUGCCAGCAGCCGCGGUAAUACGGAGGGUGCGAGCGUUAAUCGGAAUUACUGGGCGUAAAGCGCGCGUAGGCGGUCUGAUAAGCCGGUUGUGAAAGCCCCGGGCUCAACCUGGGAACGGCAUCCGGAACUGUCAGGCUAGAGUGCGGGAGAGGAAGGUAGAAUUCCCGGUGUAGCGGUGAAAUGCGUAGAGAUCGGGAGGAAUACCAGUGGCGAAGGCGGCCUUCUGGACUGACACUGACGCUGAGGUGCGAAAGCGUGGGUAGCAAACAGGAUUAGAUACCCCGGUAGUC